AUGCUAUCUUGCUCCUCCACUUCCGGCCCCACAUCGUCCUGCCUACCAGUGCCCCCCAGGCGGCCCUGCUCCCCGCCGUUGCCCCCUCCAGGUUGCCGGUGGCGGAGAUUUAUGUCUGUGCAAACAUCCCUGAAGAAGAAGGCCAUUCUCAAGACCAUGACCACUGAUGGCAAGAUCACGACCUUGAAAAUGGUAGUAGUGAACACCAUUCUUGGUAUCGAAGAGGUCAACAUUGUCAAGGAUGACUUAGUUAUCCGAUUUCAGAAUGCGAGAUGUGAAAUGUUGACAUGUGAUACCAUUACUUCUAUAGAAUUGAGGAUCCACUUACACAUUUCUUCUAACGUGGGUGAUUCUUGA
RNAcentral lists this ribosomal RNA (357 nucleotides) under Triticum aestivum (bread wheat). Its description in RNAcentral is "partial small subunit ribosomal RNA". The record is from RNAcentral. Lineage: Eukaryota; Viridiplantae; Streptophyta; Magnoliopsida; Poales; Poaceae.